RNAcentral lists this ribosomal RNA (266 nucleotides) under uncultured bacterium. RNAcentral's name for it is "partial 16S ribosomal RNA". It matches the Rfam family "Bacterial small subunit ribosomal RNA", at positions 793 to 1055 of the family's 1533-position model. The record is from RNAcentral.
GUCCACGCCCUAAACGAUGGCAACUAGUUGUUGGGGAGUGAACUCCCUUAGUAACGCAGCUAACGCGUGAAGUUGCCCGCCUGGGGAGUACGGUCGCAAGAUUAAAACUCAAAGGAAUUGACGGGGGCCCGGCACAAGCGGUGGAUGAUGUGGUUCAAUUCGAUGCAACGCGAAAACCUUAACCUACCCUUGACAUGCCAGGAAGCCCGAUGAAAGUUGGGUGUGCCCGAAAGGGAACCUGGACACAGGUGCUGCAUGGCUGUCGU